ACGGAGGGUGCGAGCGUUAUCCGGAAUCACUGGGUUUAAAGGGUGCGUAGGCUGUUAGAUAAGUCAGUGGUGAAAUAUUUUCGCAUAACGAAGAAACUGCCAUUGAUACUGUUUAGCUAGAAUUGGGAUGAGGUAACUGGAAUGUGACAUGUAGCGGUGAAAUGCAUAGAGAUGUCAUAGAAUACCGAUUGCGAAGGCAGGUUACUGGCCCUUGAUUGACGCUGAGGCACGAAAGCGUGGGUAGCGAACAGGAUUAGAUACCCUGGUAGUCCACGCCCUAAACGAUGUUUACUCGCUGUUGGGUUUUAGGAUUCAGUGGCUAAGGGAAACCGAUAAGUAAACCACCUGGGGAGUACGCCGGCAACGGUG
This 369-nucleotide ribosomal RNA is filed under the name uncultured bacterium. Its description in RNAcentral is "bacterial SSU rRNA". It matches the Rfam family "Bacterial small subunit ribosomal RNA", at positions 525 to 896 of the family's 1533-position model. The record is from RNAcentral.